CCACCGGGCGUCGGCUCGGUUUUUUCCCUUUUAGCCUGCAUGCGCCUCGCGGAAUUCAGCACCUACAGGCUAAAAGGGAAAAAACCGAGCCCAUGCUUGGUGG
This is a non-coding RNA of Podarcis lilfordi (Lilford's wall lizard), 103 nucleotides long. Lineage: Eukaryota; Metazoa; Chordata; Lepidosauria; Squamata; Lacertidae. The record is from the annotation of a GenBank genome assembly.